GAUGAAGAACGCAGCGAAAUGCGAUAAGUAAUGUGAAUUGCAGAAUUCAGUGAAUCAUCGAAUCUUUGAACGCACAUUGCGCCCACCAGUAUUCUGGCGAGCAUGCCUGUUCGAGCGUCAUUUCAACCAUCAAGCCCCAGGCUUGUGUUGGAGCCCUGCGGCUGCCGCAGCCUCCCAAAACCAGUGGCGGGCUCGCUAUCACACCGAGUGCAGUAGUUUACUCUUCGCUCAGGGCGUGUGGCGGGUGCUAGCCGUGAAACCCCCAACUUCUCAAGGUUGACCUCGGAUCAGGUAGGAAUACCCGCUGAACUUAAGCAUAUCAAUAAGCGGAGGA
RNAcentral lists this unclassified non-coding RNA (334 nucleotides) under soil metagenome. RNAcentral describes it as "partial contains 5.8S ribosomal RNA, internal transcribed spacer 2, and large subunit ribosomal RNA". The stretch from base 1 to 120 matches the Rfam family "5.8S ribosomal RNA", at positions 35 to 154 of the family's 154-position model. The record is from RNAcentral.